This 755-nucleotide ribosomal RNA is filed under the name Acinetobacter sp. JC176. Its description in RNAcentral is "bacterial SSU rRNA". It matches the Rfam family "Bacterial small subunit ribosomal RNA", at positions 87 to 836 of the family's 1533-position model. The record is from RNAcentral. Lineage: Bacteria; Pseudomonadati; Pseudomonadota; Gammaproteobacteria; Moraxellales; Moraxellaceae.
CUGACCUAGCGGCGGACGGGUGAGUAAUGCUUAGGAAUCUGCCUAUUAGUGGGGGACAACAUUCCGAAAGGAAUGCUAAUACCGCAUACGCCCUACGGGGGAAAGCAGGGGAUCUUCGGACCUUGCGCUAAUAGAUGAGCCUAAGUCAGAUUAGCUAGUUGGUGGGGUAAAGGCCUACCAAGGCGACGAUCUGUAGCGGGUCUGAGAGGAUGAUCCGCCACACUGGGACUGAGACACGGCCCAGACUCCUACGGGAGGCAGCAGUGGGGAAUAUUGGACAAUGGGCGAAAGCCUGAUCCAGCCAUGCCGCGUGUGUGAAGAAGGCCUUUUGGUUGUAAAGCACUUUAAGCGAGGAGGAGGCUACUUGGAUUAAUACUCUAGGAUAGUGGACGUUACUCGCAGAAUAAGCACCGGCUAACUCUGUGCCAGCAGCCGCGGUAAUACAGAGGGUGCGAGCGUUAAUCGGAUUUACUGGGCGUAAAGCGUGCGUAGGCGGCUUUUUAAGUCGGAUGUGAAAUCCCUGAGCUUAACUUAGGAAUUGCAUUCGAUACUGGGAAGCUAGAGUAUGGGAGAGGAUGGUAGAAUUCCAGGUGUAGCGGUGAAAUGCGUAGAGAUCUGGAGGAAUACCGAUGGCGAAAGGCAGCCAUCUGGCCUAAUACUGACGCUGAGGUACGAAAGCAUGGGGAGCAAACAGGAUUAGAUACCCUGGUAGUCCAUGCCGUAAACGAUGUCUACUAGCCGUUGGGGCCUUUGAG